UCCUACGGGAGGCAGCAGUGGGGAAUAUUGCACAAUGGGCGCAAGCCUGAUGCAGCGACGCCGCGUGGGGGAUGACGGCCUUCGGGUUGUAAACCUCUUUCAGUCACGACGAAGCGCAAGUGACGGUAGUGACAGAAGAAGCACCGGCCAACUACGUGCCAGCAGCCGCGGUAAUACGUAGGGUGCGAGCGUUGUCCGGAAUUACUGGG
Molecule: ribosomal RNA, 209 nt
Filed under: uncultured bacterium
Lineage: Bacteria
Description: partial 16S ribosomal RNA
Rfam family: Bacterial small subunit ribosomal RNA
Source: RNAcentral